AGAUAACAAUUGGUAUAUUUACGACUUGCAACAAAAACAAGUCAUUUCGAAGAAAAAUAGAAAACAUUAUUGCUUAGUUACAGCAGGGAGCACAAAUCAGUACAAGUUUGUGAAUCGUGUAUUUCUUUCUGCAUAAGAAUAGUUGAGCAAAUAAAAUUUAAAAAUAUUUUUUCCUUUAGUUCAUAUUCAAUUAUUAGCAAAAUUGUUAAUAAUACAAAAAGAAAAUAACAAAUUCUAAGGAAAAAAGAAAUAAAACUGAAACAAUUCGCAUGUACUCAAUUAUGCACCGGUUGCGGUUUCAAUAAAAAAUAUCAAAGUAAAAAUAUUGAGGACAGUAUUAUAGCCAGGAUCUUCCACACGAACGAUAGCUAAAAAAGCAUGAAAUAAGUCCAUCAGUGGUCAGAGGAGUUCAGAAAAGAUACCUAUUGUUCCCAAAGCACAAGUCAGGGGCCGCAAAAAAGUUUUGGCGGAUGCAGACACAUUUAUCAUGAUAAGACAUAUGAAAAGGAACAAGCCCUUGACACCAAAGAAUGCAUUUAUAGAAAUAAAUAAGCCUGUUAGUAGAUGGAUUGCAAGAAGAGCGCUCUGUGACAUUGAUUAUAUGACAGCGGCAAGAAGACAAAAACCUGCAUUGUCAGUAAAAAAUGUUAAGGCCCGGUUGAAGUUCGCCAGAGAACAUAGAAAUUGGACAGCAGAAAUUGGAAGCUUGUAAUCUGGUCAGACGGAUCAAAAUUCUGUCGACUCGGCAGAAUUCUGUCGCUACAACAACAACAACAACGGAUCAAAAUUUAAUCGUUUUUAGUCCUAUGGCAAACAUUAUUGAUACAACGCCCUCACGCUUCAUAUGUGACAUGUUGCACCUCUGCAAAAAAUCAAUGAAAUAAUGUGUGAAGAAGACCAUCUGUAGACAGUACCCCGAUCGGACUUAGGACGCAACGAACUAUAGACAUCACUGACCGCUAAGUGAAUGGCGUACUAGGAGUCAAACCACCACCCAUAGCAGACGUAGAGCUCGAGUUGCCUCGCGAAACCAGAGUGACCCUCGAGCAACUUCGUUCUGGAUAUUGUAGCAGGUUAAACUCCUACUUAUCCAGAAUAGACUCCGAUAUUCCAAGCAUAUGUCCUGCGUGCAAUGAGUCUCCGCAUGAUACUAACCACCUCUUUGCAUGCCCAACAAACCCAACUCAUCUAACACCCUUUUCCCUAUGGUUCGACCCCGUCGAAACAGCUAGUUUCUUGAGCCUCCCGUUAGAUGACCUCGACGACAACCAAACUAUUACUUAUCAUCCAAGCGGGGACUAGAUAACCGUUACAACAACAACAACCAUCUGCAUAUUUUGCAGACCUAUAUACCCGAUUUUGUGGAAAGCACCCUAUCUUAAAGUAGAAGUCAAAUUUCAAUAGUAACGGCUUGCCGAACAACAAUUCUUACUGAUGCAGUGGGCCGCCCAAAGUUGUAAUUUCAAUCCAAUUGAGAAUUUGUGGUUAAUCGUGAAAAGGUUAGAAAAAUAUUGAACAACCCCAAUGAAUCUGGAUGAGCUUUGGCAGCGGGAAUGGCAUAGCAUUCCAAAUGAAAUUAUAAAAAAUUUGGUGGAAAGUAUGCCAAUGCAUGUAAAAAAAAAGUGUUUUGUGUGAUAAAGGGUUAUAGACUUAAUAUUAGGAAUUAUAUAUUAUCUAAAAAAUUUCUGUAAGGUGCAAAAUUGAGUACAAGCGAGUUGUUUCAGUUUUAUUUGUUUUUUCUUCGAACUUGUUAUUUUCUUUUUGUAUUAUUAGCAAUUUGGUUUAUAUUUGAACAUAAACUAAAAGGAAAAAAAUAUUUUUAAAAUUUCUUUGCUACUUACUUAUGCUGCAUAUACAGAAAGAAAUACACGUUACACAAACUUGUACUCAAAUAUGCUCCCUACUGUACAUGGAUACCUCCACUAGUUUCUUCCAUUGUGCGUACUUAUAAGGCCACUGAUGAUUGUCAAUUACAAUUUGGAUUCAACUAUAAUAUUUGUCUCUUAUGGCCAUUAAUUCGUCGUAAAAUAGUAGUACUAAUGUAGAAUGCGGUGCGAUGCGCAAAUAGUUUGGCCAAAAUCCUUUGUAUAAACCAAGCAAACCCUCGGUGCGCACAACCUUAACCACGCAAUCAAGCCAACCAUUGUAAUAUAUACCUUUGCCACUGGCAUCAACUCCCUGAUUGUAAAGACGAGUGGUUAACACAUCAGGUGGUGUUAUAGCCAAUGACAUAAUAGUGCCGGCAAUACCGCCGGCACAGAAGGAAUUCAAUGUGGGUUGCGUCACCCAGCCAUUGUCGCGUAACCUAGACUUCGUUAUGCCAAAAGUGGCAAUUUGAGCGCCGGAGCCUAAAGCUGCUCGUGGUACAGCCGCCAUUGAACCUCGCCAUAAACCAGUAAUACCACGCUCAGCAUAGAUUUGGCUCAACGCUUGGAAAGUGCCGGUGUGCUUAUGUUGGUAGCCAACGGCUAUAGCUUUAGCAGCUUGUGAUUGCAAUUGCGUUUUUAUCUGAAAUAAUUCAUACAGUAUUAGAUAUAAUUACAUAAGUGAAAUUUUUGUCUUAAAUCAUUUAUAUGCGUAAUUAAUUUUCAUGUGAUGAUAUGUGAAUGGAUUUACUUCUUAUAACUCUA
Non-coding RNA from Bactrocera oleae (olive fruit fly), 2630 nucleotides. NCBI's taxonomy places the organism in Eukaryota, Metazoa, Arthropoda, Insecta, Diptera, Tephritidae. The record is from RefSeq and is a predicted model, not a curated record.